GCAUUUUCCUUUAAUGCGGGCUGGAAAGAGGUGGCGUAGUUUUUCUGCCCUGAAAAGCAAAUACCAUUUGUUCACUAGAACAGACGCAGGCAUCCUGUCGCCUCUCCCGUGUGCUGCCUUCCUUCCCUCGCUGGGUACUUCCGGGUGGUCACUCCUCAGCAUGGAGGGGCGGGAGGGGCCGCACAGGGCCUUGUGCCCCAGUCACAGGGAGGGCCCACGGAGAGGUGUGCAAGGGAACAUGUCCUCAAAUGCAAAAGCAGCCGUGGGCUUGCUAGGGCUUGGGUUUGAAGUAUCCCCUGAAACUUCCUGUGGGAGGACUUGGUUGGCUGUUGAUGGUCUUCGCGGAAGUGACAAGGUCACGAGGGCUCCAACUUCCCCAAGUGGAUGGAUCCUUUGAGGAGACCGCAGCUUGAGGGCGCAAUGGGAGCUGAUGGGAACAGGCUGUGCCCAGUGGAAGGAAGUAGGUCGCGAGGAGGUGACCUUGGGGGCUUUACCUAGUCCCAGCCCCUCCUCUCUGGCUCCUUCCUCCGCGUGUUUUCUUCCCAGCUGCUAUGAGGGUGCACAGAGUUUAAGUGACUUAGUAGCUGCCGUAGGUUCUCAAGCAGGAAAUCCAGGAAAUGGUGUUGUGGGCAGCACGUUCUACCGUGUCCUGGGCGCUGGAGCUCGGAGACUCCGGGGCAGGAGCUGGGUCAGAGCAUCAAAGGCAAAAUACACGGAGAAAAUCCUUCCAAGAAGUUAUCACAAUGACAAAGAACAAAACACACUGCGAUAUUUAGAUCGAGCCUGCUUUAAUCAAGACACUACGAUGGUCUCAUGA
RNAcentral lists this long non-coding RNA (817 nucleotides) under Chinchilla lanigera (long-tailed chinchilla). RNAcentral describes it as "lncRNA (ENSCLAG00000027405.1)". The record is from RNAcentral. Lineage: Eukaryota; Metazoa; Chordata; Mammalia; Rodentia; Chinchillidae.